RNAcentral lists this ribosomal RNA (253 nucleotides) under uncultured bacterium. Its description in RNAcentral is "partial 16S ribosomal RNA". It matches the Rfam family "Bacterial small subunit ribosomal RNA", at positions 524 to 776 of the family's 1533-position model. The record is from RNAcentral.
UACGAGAGGCCCAACCGUUAUUCGGAUUUACUGGGCUUAAAGAGUUCGUAGGCGGCGCGGAAAGUAGGGUGUGAAAGCCCUCGGCUCAACCGAGGAAUUGCGCUCUAAACUACCGUGCUUGAGGAAGCUAGAGGUGAGCGGAACUGAUGGUGGAGCGGUGAAAUGCGUUGAUAUCAUCAGGAACACCGGAGGCGAAGGCGGCUCACUGGGGCUUUUCUGACGCUGAGGAACGAAAGCCAGGGGAGCGAACGGG